Molecule: ribosomal RNA, 484 nt
Filed under: uncultured bacterium
Lineage: Bacteria
Description: partial 16S ribosomal RNA
Rfam family: Bacterial small subunit ribosomal RNA
Source: RNAcentral
AUUGAACGCUGGCGGCAGGCCUAACACAUGCAAGUCGAGCGGAUGAAGGGAGCUUGCUCCUGGAUUCAGCGGCGGACGGGUGAGUAAUGCCUAGGAAUCUGCCUGGUAGUGGGGGAUAACGUCCGGACACGGGCGCUAAUACCGCAUACGUCCUGAGGGAGAAAGUGGGGGAUCUUCGGACCUCACGCUAUCAGAUGAGCCUAGGUCGGAUUAGCUAGUUGGUUGGGUAAAGGCCUACCAAGGCGACGAUCCGUAACUGGUCUGAGAGGAUGAUCAGUCACACUGGAACUGAGACACGGUCCAGACUCCUACGGGAGGCAGCAGUGGGGAAUAUUGGACAAUGGGCGAAAGCAUGAUCCAGCAAUGCCGCGUGUGUGAAGAAGGUCUUCGGAUUGUAAAGCACUUUAAGUUGGGAGGAAGGGCAGUAAGUUAAUACCUUGCUGUAUUGACGUUAACAACAGAAUAAGCACCGGCUAACUACGUG